AACGAACGCUGGCGGCAGGCCUAACACAUGCAAGUCGAGCGAGACCUUCGGGUCUAGCGGCGGACGGGUUAGUAACGCGUGGGAAUAUGCCCAAAGGUACGGAAUAGCCUCUGGAAACGGAGAGUAAUACCGUAUGUGCCCUUCGGGGAAAGAUUUAUCGCCUUUGGAUUAGCCCGCGUUGGAUUAGAUAGUUGGUGGGGUAAUGGCCUACCAAGUCUACGAUCCAUAGCUGGUUUGAGAGGAUGAUCAGCAACACUGGGACUGAGACACGGCCCAGACUCCUACGGGAGGCAGCAGUGGGGAAUCUUCGGCAAUGGGCGCAAGCCUGACCGAGCCAUGCCGCGUGAGCGAUGAAGGCCUUAGGGUUGUAAGCUCUUCGCCAGGGAUGAUAAUGACAGUACCUGGUAAAGAAACCCGGCUAACUCCGUG
This 429-nucleotide ribosomal RNA is filed under the name uncultured bacterium. Its description in RNAcentral is "bacterial SSU rRNA". It matches the Rfam family "Bacterial small subunit ribosomal RNA", at positions 29 to 507 of the family's 1533-position model. The record is from RNAcentral.